RNAcentral lists this ribosomal RNA (460 nucleotides) under uncultured bacterium. Its description in RNAcentral is "partial 16S ribosomal RNA". It matches the Rfam family "Bacterial small subunit ribosomal RNA", at positions 338 to 795 of the family's 1533-position model. The record is from RNAcentral.
CCUACGGGAGGCAGCAGUGAGGAAUAUUGGUCAAUGGACGAGAGUCUGAACCAGCCAAGUAGCGUGAAGGAUGACUGCCCUAUGGGUUGUAAACUUCUUUUAUAUGGGAAUAAAAUGUUCCACGUGUGGGAUUUUGUAUGUACCAUAUGAAUAAGGAUCGGCUAACUCCGUGCCAGCCGCCGCGGUAAUACGGAGGAUCCGAGCGUUAUCCGGAUUUAUUGGGUUUAACGGGAGCGUAGGUGGAUUGUUAAGUCAGUUGUGAAAGUUUGCGGCUCAACCGUAAAAUUGCAGUUGAAACUGGCAGUCUUGAGUACAGUAGAGGUGGGCGGAAUUCGUGGUGUAGCGGUGAAAUGCUUAGAUAUCACGAAGAACUCCGAUUGCGAAGGCAGCUCACUGGACUGCAACUGACACUGAGGCUCGAAAGUGUGGGUAUCAAACAGGAUUAGAUACCCGAGUAGUC